AGAAUGAACGCUGGCGGCGUGCUUAACACAUGCAAGUCGAGCGAGGCCAGGGGGGCAACUCCCUGAGUCGAGCGGCGGACGGGUGAGUAACACGUGGGUAACCUACCCGGAAGUGGGGAAUACCGUCGGGGAAACUCGAGCUAAUACCGCAUAACAUCUCGAGGACGAAAGUUCUUGUGAUCAAAGCGGGGCCGCAAGGCCUCGUGCUACCGGAUGGGCCCGCGCCCGAUUAGCUAGUUGGCGAGGUAAUGGCUCACCAAGGCGACGAUCGGUAACCGGCCUGGAGAGGGCGAGUCGGUACACGACCGGAACUGAGACACGGUCCGGACUCCGACGGAGGCAGCAGUGGGAAUCUGCGCAAGUGGGACGAAGCCGUGACGCAGACACGCGCGUGAGAUGGAAGGCCUUAGGGUACGUAACGUCGUGUCGCGUAGGAA
RNAcentral lists this ribosomal RNA (437 nucleotides) under uncultured soil bacterium. Its description in RNAcentral is "bacterial SSU rRNA". It matches the Rfam family "Bacterial small subunit ribosomal RNA", at positions 26 to 446 of the family's 1533-position model. The record is from RNAcentral.